Molecule: transfer RNA, 72 nt
Filed under: Camelus bactrianus (Bactrian camel)
Lineage: Eukaryota; Metazoa; Chordata; Mammalia; Artiodactyla; Camelidae
Also listed under: 1 other name
Rfam family: tRNA
About the family: Transfer RNA (tRNA) molecules are approximately 80 nucleotides in length. Their secondary structure includes four short double-helical elements and three loops (D, anti-codon, and T loops).
Source: Rfam by way of RNAcentral
AGGGUAAUAGCUCAGUGGUGGAGCAUGUGCUUAGUGUGCACGAGGUCCUGGGUUCAAUCCCCAGCACCUCCA